GGACCCGCACAAGCGGUGGAGCAUGUGGUUUAAUUCGAUGCAACGCGAAAAACCUUACCUACUCUUGACAUACUUGGGAGCUCUUGUAAUGAGAGUGUGCCUUUUGGAACCAAGAUACAGGUGCUGCAUGGCUGUCGUCAGCUCGUGUCGUGAGAUGUUGGUUAAGUCCCGCAACGAGCGCAACCCUCGUCCUUAGUUGCUACCAUUUAGUUGGGCACUUUAAGGAAACUGCCGGUGAUAAGCCGGAGGAAGGUGGGGAUGACGUCAAGUCCUCAUGGCCCUUACAGGCUGGGCUACACACGUGCUACAAUGGCGAUGACAGUGGGCAGCGACCCCGCAAGGGUGAGCUAA
This 351-nucleotide ribosomal RNA is filed under the name uncultured bacterium. RNAcentral describes it as "bacterial SSU rRNA". It matches the Rfam family "Bacterial small subunit ribosomal RNA", at positions 917 to 1271 of the family's 1533-position model. The record is from RNAcentral.